RNAcentral lists this small nuclear RNA (55 nucleotides) under Salmo salar (Atlantic salmon). Its description in RNAcentral is "U7 small nuclear RNA (ENSSSAG00000092737.1)". It matches the Rfam family "U7 small nuclear RNA". Rfam says of the family: Animal histone pre-mRNAs are spliced by a different mechanism than nuclear pre-mRNAs and self-splicing introns. This processing involves the U7 snRNP, which contains only one RNA species: U7. Lineage: Eukaryota; Metazoa; Chordata; Actinopteri; Salmoniformes; Salmonidae. The record is from RNAcentral.
GAAAAUUUGCUCUUUUAGUAUUUGUCCAGUAGGUUUUCUCAGUGAAGAAGCCCCC